RNAcentral lists this transfer RNA (72 nucleotides) under Bos taurus (domestic cattle). It matches the Rfam family "tRNA". Rfam says of the family: Transfer RNA (tRNA) molecules are approximately 80 nucleotides in length. Their secondary structure includes four short double-helical elements and three loops (D, anti-codon, and T loops). Further hydrogen bonds mediate the characteristic L-shaped molecular structure. tRNAs have two regions of fundamental functional importance: the anti-codon, which is responsible for specific mRNA codon recognition, and the 3' end, to which the tRNAs corresponding amino acid is attached (by aminoacyl-tRNA synthetases). tRNAs cope with the degeneracy of the genetic code in two manners: having more than one tRNA (with a specific anti-codon) for a particular amino acid; and 'wobble' base-pairing, i.e. permitting non-standard base-pairing at the 3rd anti-codon position. The record is from Rfam by way of RNAcentral. RNAcentral also lists the same sequence under 4 other names. Lineage: Eukaryota; Metazoa; Chordata; Mammalia; Artiodactyla; Bovidae.
UCCCUGGUGGUUCAGUGGUUAAGACUCUGCGCUUUCAAUGCAGGGCCUUGGGUUUGAUACCUGGUCAGGGAA